UGGUAACCAGACAUACGAAAAACAUGGCAAAUUCAGUUCGGUAACAGUGUCAACAAUAGACGAAGAAGAAAGAUGAGAUCGAAGCGCGUGAAAUUGCCGACAGCUAUGCUAACAAUGCUCGAAUUAUCGAAAAACAACUUCACGAAAAGGCGGCAAACUUUCUGAUUUGGGAACCAGGAACAAGCUAGAUGAAGUCGUCCCACCGAAAAAGCCAAGAGGAACAUUAUUAGACAUUUAAUGAAAAAAAUUAGAUAAAUUUUGUAAAAAUAGGUGAAGUCUUGUUCACUCAUUCUUUUUUUUUUUUUUUUUUUUGUUUAUUUACUCCAAAAAUUAAAUAAGCAAAAUAAUCGCCCUUAUUACGUCGGCGUUGUCGUAGGCGUUCAUGUGUCGUAGACGUAGUCGUAGGCGUUGUCAUAAACUAUUUUUUUUGGUAUUAUGUACAAUUUCGAAUACGUCUUUUAUAUAAUAGAUGUUAAAAAGCAGGGUGCUUUGCAAUAAACAAACAUUUGUAGAAUUUACGAGAUACCCGGAAAAAUAAAUAAAAGCGCCAGUUGAAAUGGUUGAAGUAAAA
This is a long non-coding RNA of Musca domestica (house fly), 571 nucleotides long. RefSeq lists it as uncharacterized. The record is from RefSeq and is a predicted model, not a curated record. The transcript has 2 exons. NCBI's taxonomy places the organism in Eukaryota, Metazoa, Arthropoda, Insecta, Diptera, Muscidae.